CUCACUGUUCCUUGAGAGAGUUCUGUAUAAGCAUCACUUACGUGAUCAAACCUGUCUUACCAGAGAGGCAACAGAACUAUGUCUAUUCUUUGUCAGGAUUAAUGAAUUCUAUCUGCAGCUUGAAGUGAAAUAUAGUCCAUUGCCCUGGACACUCUGGGCAAACACAAAUGGUGCUAUAGCUGAUGACCACAAAAAGCUACACAGUUCCCUCUCCCUUUCUCACAAGUUCAUUUCACUGUUAUUUGCUGUUUUAACUCUUUUUAUGUUUGAGCUAAGAACUCCAACUCAAGUUUUUUUUUUCUUUUUUUUUUUUUUUUUUUUUUUUUUUUUUUUUUUUCUUUUUUCCCUUUUUCUUUAACUUAGGACUGAUGGGUCAUGCUUCACCAGGUAUCCUGACCAUGAUAGUUCCUCUGAGACAUUAUUGAAUUACAAGGUCUGAGAAGUCCUGAGCACCAGCUAACAGAUCCUUGAGAAGAGGGUCAAGACACAAAGGGAUGUGUUCUUCACUGAAGUCAUGUGAAGCAGUGGAAAGAUGUUCUCCCCUUUCUCUUGGGGAAUUCUUUAGAGAAGGGGAAGGAAGGGGGUUGCUACAAAAAGAAAAAUGCAGUCCAGAAUUGCCUGGUUACUUUGACAUUAGAAUACUGGUGCUGCAGACGCUGUCAGGGCUGAUCUAAGCUGCGGCUUGACUUGAUUUGCCUGGAAAUCUGCCAGUGGCAAGACCACCUCCCGAGCUGAAGUUUAAGGAAAGUGGAGAGAAAGGUUUCCAGAGAAAAGUAAAAUGAGAUUAAAAUGAAGAAUAAAUCAAGGUGAAAGAACUCUCUUCUUUCUUUC
This 831-nucleotide long non-coding RNA is filed under the name Anser brachyrhynchus (Pink-footed goose). RNAcentral describes it as "lncRNA (ENSABRG00000022224.1)". Lineage: Eukaryota; Metazoa; Chordata; Aves; Anseriformes; Anatidae. The record is from RNAcentral.